Long non-coding RNA from Peromyscus californicus insignis, 1811 nucleotides. RefSeq lists it as uncharacterized. Lineage: Eukaryota; Metazoa; Chordata; Mammalia; Rodentia; Cricetidae. The record is from RefSeq and is a predicted model, not a curated record. The transcript is spliced from 4 exons.
UCUUUUCUAAUGAGAGACAAAAAGGGAGUGGAUCCAGAUGGAAGAGGAGGUGGGGAGGAACUGGGAGGAGUAGAGGGAGGGGAAACUGUAAUCAGGAUAUGUUAUGUGAGAAAAUAACAUAUUUUCAAUAAAAGGCAAGGGGGAGAUGGAACGAAACAAAGCAUUCGGUUCGGUCAACUCUGUUCCACCAGGAGCUGGACUCCAGGCUUAGUAAAGCCAUGUUGACAGGUGCAAGAGCUGCCCUUUCCGCUGUGCAGUGGUCAGUCCGGAGGAGUCACCUGACCCCUCCCUGUGGCCUGUGGUGAGACCUGAGGCAGUGGCAGAGACAGAAGAUGCCUUCAGAGCAUUUGAAAGCGAAAUGGACAGACAUGGGCUUUCAGAUCUCAGCCUGAGCUGUCUGCUUCAGACACCUCCUGGUGACCAGUGAGAAGAGCAAGGUUGGACAGGUGCCAAUCAGUUCUUCCAGGCAGAAGGCAGGAUCCGAUGCACAUUGGGGCAGGGGGAAAAAACUGUUAGAAGCACUCAUACUGCUCUCGGCCGUGGCGCCAUCUUCCUUGGAACUCCUGCGCCAGGAGAGCGACAGGGAGGAAGAAGCGAAUGCAAUGCGCAGGCUGAAGCCAAGAGGGGAAAGCUGAGGCAGAGGUCUAAGUAAACUAGGCUUGUGCACCCGUGAGGCUGAAGGCGCCGAAGCAAGGGAUGCUGAAGGCUGGGACUUUGGUGCACGUCGCUGGACUGUGUGCUACUAACGCUGGAAGUCUUGAUGGACCUGAACAGCACCAUCGGCUCGCAGAGACCACCUGAGAGACUUUGCGUUCAUGACAACCAAAACAGUCCCGCUGGCCCUCUGCCCUGGACCUAUGGCAUUCCAGACUAGUUCUGUUCUCACUUGUGGCCAAGUGUAACUCGUGUACAAUAAACCAUCUUUUCUCGCUGUCUCAGCUGAAGAAUCCAAAAAAAAUAAAAAUAAAAAAAAGAAGCACUCAUAUUCUUUUUAAUCAUAUUCUCUACCUCUAGUCUCCAGAUUUAACUCUCAUUUACAGAUUUCCGGGGUUUUCAUUUCUAAAGCACAACAUUGGAUACUUCUUCUGUCCUGUGAGUGGAACGUUCUGGAUUCAGCUGUUUUAGCACAUAGAUUUAAUGGCCAACCAGCUCUGUACAAAUAAGAGUAGAGAAAGAGAUCCAAGAAGAUACUUUCUCUGCUAAGCUAGUGUAAUGUUAAAAUUAAUUGGCUAAAAUUAGAAUAUAUGACCUACUAAAAAUUGUUUAAAGUUAACAACAAGGUUUUCAUUUGGAUAGCCAACCUAAAAAAAACUUUCAAAAAACAAGAACUGGCUACAGUGAGCAUGUGGUAUUCAUAAUUCAUUCAGAUAAGUCAUUUUAAUUCCUUUGAAAACAGAGCAGAUUCACUGAGCAACCACACAGCCCAACCAAAUCGUCUGAGAACUGAGGAAGGGAAGAAAGUAAGAUUUCAUGAUGUCCAAAGGAUGUCAAGCUCAAGAGCCUUUCAAGAUAGCCAUAAAUAGAGAGUCCCUUAUCAAACCACACAGACCUCCUCUCAGUUCAAAAGUGAUGGCUUUGCACCACCCCCGCACCGCGUAGCCACGGAGGGCUGUGCUCAACAGGCCUCCCACGUGGCAGAGAUGACUCUGGGCGCACAGAGAUACAGACAUGGCUGCUUUGAGCUCCCAGAUGACUGACAAAGUUUAAGAUGUGAGCUCUCAGCUCAUUGCUCCAGCUAACAUGCCUGCCUGCUGCCACACUUCCCUGCCAUGAUGGUGAUGGAUUCUCAUCCUCUGGAACCCUAAGCACAA